This 1270-nucleotide long non-coding RNA is filed under the name Zonotrichia albicollis (white-throated sparrow). Its description in RNAcentral is "lncRNA (ENSZALG00000004804.1)". The record is from RNAcentral. Lineage: Eukaryota; Metazoa; Chordata; Aves; Passeriformes; Passerellidae.
CUGUGCCCAGAGGGCGGAGUUCCUGCACAUUCCUACCUCACCGGAGAACCUGCCCUCAACUCCACUUCAGCUACUCCAGAGAGAUGGGACCCUCCAGAAGAAACCUGCCCAGCAAUCCUUCCCGCCAGAAGGUGUUUCCUCCCCCGGCCUUCCCCCUCCCCCUCGGGCUCUUUCGUUUCAAUCGAUGCCAGGAGAAACUGCCUCUACCUGCAAGAAAGGCGCACGACGGCACUUGGGAAUAGGAGUCCUCCGACGGCACCGGGUGAGUGCGGAUUUUACUCCUCUUUUAUUCUCAGGUAUCAAGUAACUUCACGCGCGAUUUUUGUCCUUUGGUACCAGAAGGGGAGAGAGCGCCAUUCCCGCAGAUCCCUGAGCGUGCUCUGCCUUUUUGAAAUAUUACGGGGGCUAGGCAAAAUUCCCCUCCACCACUCAUGUCGGGAGGAAAUUUGGUCCUUUAUCCAUCUCUGCUAUAUGAAAGACGAUUUUAGCAUGGCGAGUAUAGGCGGACUCUGUAAUGAAUUAUUUCUAAAAAUUCUGAGCUUGUCAUUUGAGAAAAAGCUACAGGCUUAUCGCACCUUUUGGGGUUGUGUAAAGAGUGCUAAUAUCUCUAAAUUUCCAGGAAAGCGACUAAAUGCCAAAAAUUUGGGGAGAUCGAGGAAAGAGACCUUGCAAAGAGCCAUACUGAGCUGAAUUUUGCUUUGAGUGCUCUAGUGGAGAAAACGCGCCCUUAAAAGGGAUCACGGGCAGCGUUGAUGUCCAUGAGAGAGCUGCAGGCACUCUCCCUUUGUCUUCCCACUCUCCAAAUUCCAUGACUGAGUUCUGUGUACGUUGAGAUUUACGUGCCGAAAUCUCGGAAUAGGGGCAAAAGUUUAAAUGACUGAUAAAAGUGAUGUGCUCGCUGUGCUCAUCCUUGCGGGUGGGGGCAGGCGCGCUGCUGCGUGGGCAGGACCCGGGAUGGGGCCCUCCGCGGACCGACUCGUUCUUCUUUUGCUGUCCUGCUGUGGCUGAGGGGAAGAGCCGCGUCUGGUGUCCCACCCGGCGGAUGACUUUGACCCCUUUGCUCCUGCUACUUUUGACCUCACGAAAAUAAUUAAUUUUUUUAAUAUACAGCGAGUGGAGUAUUCCGCGACGCUGUGCUCGGGACACCUCAGCGGGGGGGGCAGCGGUACCGAGCGCCCGUCUCUUUCGCAUGGCAGAAACCGGCGCAGGUGCAGGGAGACCAGCGCCCGCACAUGCACAGCUCACGCCGGCGGUGACUUGUGACAGAUCC